This 2923-nucleotide ribosomal RNA is filed under the name Klebsiella pneumoniae. RNAcentral describes it as "bacterial LSU rRNA". It matches the Rfam family "Bacterial large subunit ribosomal RNA". The record is from RNAcentral. Lineage: Bacteria; Pseudomonadati; Pseudomonadota; Gammaproteobacteria; Enterobacterales; Enterobacteriaceae.
GGGUUGUGAGGUUAAGCGACUAAGCGUACACGGUGGAUGCCCUGGCAGUCAGAGGCGAUGAAGGACGUGCUAAUCUGCGAAAAGCGUCGGUAAGGUGAUAUGAACCGUUAUAACCGGCGAUGUCCGAAUGGGGAAACCCAGUGUGAUUCGUCACACUAUCGUUAACUGAAUACAUAGGUUAACGAGGCGAACCGGGGGAACUGAAACAUCUAAGUACCCCGAGGAAAAGAAAUCAACCGAGAUUCCCCCAGUAGCGGCGAGCGAACGGGGAGCAGCCCAGAGUCUGAAUCAGCUUGUGUGUUAGUGGAACGGUCUGGAAAGUCCGACGGUACAGGGUGAUAGUCCCGUACACCAAAAUGCACAGGCUGUGAACUCGAAGAGUAGGGCGGGACACGUGGUAUCCUGUCUGAAUAUGGGGGGACCAUCCUCCAAGGCUAAAUACUCCUGACUGACCGAUAGUGAACCAGUACCGUGAGGGAAAGGCGAAAAGAACCCCGGCGAGGGGAGUGAAAAAGAACCUGAAACCGUGUACGUACAAGCAGUGGGAGCACCUUCGGGUGUGACUGCGUACCUUUUGUAUAAUGGGUCAGCGACUUAUAUUCUGUAGCAAGGUUAACCGUAUAGGGGAGCCGCAGGGAAACCGAGUCUUAACUGGGCGUUAAGUUGCAGGGUAUAGACCCGAAACCCGGUGAUCUAGCCAUGGGCAGGUUGAAGGUUGGGUAACACUAACUGGAGGACCGAACCGACUAAUGUUGAAAAAUUAGCGGAUGACUUGUGGCUGGGGGUGAAAGGCCAAUCAAACCGGGAGAUAGCUGGUUCUCCCCGAAAGCUAUUUAGGUAGCGCCUCGUGAACUCAUCUUCGGGGGUAGAGCACUGUUUCGGCUAGGGGGUCAUCCCGACUUACCAACCCGAUGCAAACUACGAAUACCGAAGAAUGUUAUCACGGGAGACACACGGCGGGUGCUAACGUCCGUCGUGAAGAGGGAAACAACCCAGACCGCCAGCUAAGGUCCCAAAGUCAUGGUUAAGUGGGAAACGAUGUGGGAAGGCACAGACAGCCAGGAUGUUGGCUUAGAAGCAGCCAUCAUUUAAAGAAAGCGUAAUAGCUCACUGGUCGAGUCGGCCUGCGCGGAAGAUGUAACGGGGCUAAACCAUGCACCGAAGCUGCGGCAGCGACACUAUGUGUUGUUGGGUAGGGGAGCGUUCUGUAAGCCUGCGAAGGUGUGCUGUGAGGCAUGCUGGAGGUAUCAGAAGUGCGAAUGCUGACAUAAGUAACGAUAAAGCGGGUGAAAAGCCCGCUCGCCGGAAGACCAAGGGUUCCUGUCCAACGUUAAUCGGGGCAGGGUGAGUCGACCCCUAAGGCGAGGCCGAAAGGCGUAGUCGAUGGGAAACAGGUUAAUAUUCCUGUACUUGGUGUUACUGCGAAGGGGGGACGGAGAAGGCUAUGUUAGCCGGGCGACGGUUGUCCCGGUUUAAGCAUGUAGGCUGGUUGUCCAGGCAAAUCCGGAUAAUCAAGGCUGAGGUGUGAUGACGAGGCACUACGGUGCUGAAGUAACAAAUGCCCUGCUUCCAGGAAAAGCCUCUAAGCAUCAGGUAACAUCAAAUCGUACCCCAAACCGACACAGGUGGUCAGGUAGAGAAUACCAAGGCGCUUGAGAGAACUCGGGUGAAGGAACUAGGCAAAAUGGUGCCGUAACUUCGGGAGAAGGCACGCUGGUGUGUAGGUGAAGUCCCUGCGGAUGGAGCUGAGACCAGUCGAAGAUACCAGCUGGCUGCAACUGUUUAUUAAAAACACAGCACUGUGCAAACACGAAAGUGGACGUAUACGGUGUGACGCCUGCCCGGUGCCGGAAGGUUAAUUGAUGGGGUUAUCCGUAAGGAGAAGCUCUUGAUCGAAGCCCCGGUAAACGGCGGCCGUAACUAUAACGGUCCUAAGGUAGCGAAAUUCCUUGUCGGGUAAGUUCCGACCUGCACGAAUGGCGUAAUGAUGGCCAGGCUGUCUCCACCCGAGACUCAGUGAAAUUGAACUCGCUGUGAAGAUGCAGUGUACCCGCGGCAAGACGGAAAGACCCCGUGAACCUUUACUAUAGCUUGACACUGAACAUUGAGCCUUGAUGUGUAGGAUAGGUGGGAGGCUUUGAAGCGUGGACGCCAGUCUGCGUGGAGCCAACCUUGAAAUACCACCCUUUAAUGUUUGAUGUUCUAACGUUGGCCCCUUACCGGGGUUGCGGACAGUGUCUGGUGGGUAGUUUGACUGGGGCGGUCUCCUCCCAAAGCGUAACGGAGGAGCACGAAGGUUAGCUAAUCCUGGUCGGACAUCAGGAGGUUAGUGCAAUGGCAUAAGCUAGCUUGACUGCGAGCGUGACGGCGCGAGCAGGUGCGAAAGCAGGUCAUAGUGAUCCGGUGGUUCUGAAUGGAAGGGCCAUCGCUCAACGGAUAAAAGGUACUCCGGGGAUAACAGGCUGAUACCGCCCAAGAGUUCAUAUCGACGGCGGUGUUUGGCACCUCGAUGUCGGCUCAUCACAUCCUGGGGCUGAAGUAGGUCCCAAGGGUAUGGCUGUUCGCCAUUUAAAGUGGUACGCGAGCUGGGUUUAGAACGUCGUGAGACAGUUCGGUCCCUAUCUGCCGUGGGCGCUGGAGAAUUGAGGGGGGCUGCUCCUAGUACGAGAGGACCGGAGUGGACGCAUCACUGGUGUUCGGGUUGUCAUGCCAAUGGCACUGCCCGGUAGCUAAAUGCGGAAGAGAUAAGUGCUGAAAGCAUCUAAGCACGAAACUUGCCCCGAGAUGAGUUCUCCCUGAGACUAUAAGUCUCCUGAAGGAACGUUAAAGACGAUGACGUUGAUAGGCCGGGUGUGUAAGCGCAGCGAUGCGUUGAGCUAACCGGUACUAAUGAACCGUGAGGCUUAACCUUACAACGCCGAAG